UGCAGAACGGAGAAGGGAGAGAAGACAGUUCUAUUUUGGAAGUGGAUGUGUCACAGAGAUGAAGCCUGGGCAAGUGAGAAGAUGACAACAACAUCCCAGUAUGAAGGAGGAGAACCCAAGAAACAAUCAGACACACCCGGAAUGUUGACAUUCACAGACCAGUAGUCUUGCCGCUGAAAAACUCCAUGAUGGUUUCAUAACUACCUCGUUCCUAGAUCAAAUCCCCUCCUGCUUCAGAUACCUAAAGGGAACUUGGUUUUGCUGACCACAUCCACCUCAGGACCUCACUGCAGAGUGAGGAGGCCUCUCUCAAGAAGGCAACUCCCUACAGAAAGAGUUCCACUGAAGAACAAAAUAAACAAUGGAAAACGUGGAGACAGAGCUUUACAUAAGCGGGCAGAGGACCAAGAGAUGACGGGGGCAGGGAGAUGUAGCAAGAACGAAGAUGCGUGGUGUGUGUGCCACAAUGAGUGUAAUCAGCAUGCACUGUAAACAUGUA
This 499-nucleotide long non-coding RNA is filed under the name Heterocephalus glaber (naked mole-rat). RNAcentral describes it as "lncRNA (ENSHGLG00100049947.1)". Lineage: Eukaryota; Metazoa; Chordata; Mammalia; Rodentia; Bathyergidae. The record is from RNAcentral.